Long non-coding RNA from Poecile atricapillus (Black-capped chickadee), 3656 nucleotides. RefSeq lists it as uncharacterized. The transcript has 3 exons. The record is from RefSeq and is a predicted model, not a curated record. NCBI's taxonomy places the organism in Eukaryota, Metazoa, Chordata, Aves, Passeriformes, Paridae.
AGAGCGGCCGCGGAGAGGAGGCUCCCGCUCCCGGGGGACACCAGUUUCCCAUGUGGGAGUGGAGCUGCGGCUGCUGCUCGGUCCUAUCCACGGCUGCUGUAGGGUGUGAUGGGCGUUUAUUAUUAUUAUUAUUAAUGGCAGCUCGUUCGCGCUGAGGUUAUAUUAAAGCCCCAUUGUGCGAGGCUCCGCACAAAGCGGUCGGAGACAGUCUGUACCCGGGAACGGGCAGUCAGAACAGAGAAACGCAGCAGAGAGGGUAGGCAGGAAGAAACGCCGCUGAAGGAGGAGAAACUUCUUCCUGAAAAUGUCAUGAAAACUGAUGUGCCCCUAUGAAAAAUGUGGAUUUUGAUGAUUCAGCAUUUUCCCAUAGAAGAUAAAACUCCUUUGUUCCUCUGACCAGCUCCCAGCAAAUGGCUCAAAAGCGUAUGUUUCAUGUUUCCUCCCAGGAACCUGUUCCUGAAGCUGCUGUGAAACUUCCUAGGUUGUGGCCCACUCGGGUGUUCUCUGAUUGCAUGAGCUUCAGUGGGACCUGGGUGCUGCCUGAUUUUGGGAAGAGUUCUCAGUACAAGUGGCUCCGCCCUGUCUCUGAGCUGAAGCUGUGGAAAGGAAGGAGCAAUGUAUCACAGGAUCCAAACUGGAGGCAUGAAAAGGGACAGCAGGCUUCCACUUCUGAAGGAUACUUCUGAAAAUACUUGAGAUUUGGGUAUCUGAAACGGAGAAUACCCUUACUGAGAUGUGAGAGCUGCAGGGACCUAACACCUUUGCAAGAGAUGCCUGUCUACACCAAGGACCAGGGAAUUGAGACACAGAGGACAGUGUUUAAGAUAUGAAGCUGGAUUUCUGGAACAGGAGGAGCAGGCAGAACAGAAGGAGGUUGGUACUGGGACAGAUGUGUUAGCAGGCCACAAGUACUUCCAUGUUCCCAGAUGUCAUAUCCAACUUCAUGCUGACCUCUGGCCCAGAGUGAGAAUGAGGACUCAAAGGAUAUUUGAUCAUUUCCCUUUUCUGUACGCAACUGCGAAGCCACCUUUCUUUUCAGGUGGAUCAAGCUUUUAUCCUUACUGCUAUUACCAUGCCUAACAUUCCCUUCAAGAAACAUUAAGGAAUUUCACCAUUUUUGUGGUGAAAUUCCUUAAUGAGUCUGAAAUUCAGAGAUGGCUGGAGCAAAAUAAUAAUGCUAGCCAUAAUAAUAAAUAACAGCCCCAUUUGCUUUAAUUUGCAUCUCACAAAACAACAACCCAGUCCAAAUUCUCAUCUGCUGUGGAGAUAAAGAGUGUGAUUUACUCGUCAGCAAUGGAGAAGAGACACACGACAAGACAGUAACCUCUGGCCAUAAACAAACUGGAGUGGCUUUGCCUUUUAACAGGCUCCCUUCUCGUCUCCUAUGGAGUGCUACUUUCUGCCUUAUGUAACCCUCUGGACAACUCCACUGACCUAUAUUGUUUUAAUAAAUUUGAGCAGUUUGAGCUAAAGACCCUUCAAUUUUCUGAUGCUGUUCCCACUUCACAGGGCUCCCUUUCUUGCUCUGCUCUGCAAGGUUCCAUAGCUAGUAUCCUGGGAGAAGCUAAAUAAACAGCUUCCAAGUUCCAACCCAUAUGUGUCAAACUUCCUUUUGAAUGUUAGCCUUGGAGGUGAGAAGGAAAAACUGAGUUGACUAGGAAAAUGUAUAAGCUUUCAGAAACAGUUUUUUAUUACCUUCCUUAUCACCCCUUUAAGGUCAUAAAGAUUAUGCCAAAGAAGCUAUUAAGUUUUCCAGGAUUGCAAAAUAUUUUAUCAAUGAUAGAGAUGAAGCAUGCCGUUCCGCUUUUCAAUUUUUUGCUUUAUAUUUCCUUUUAUGUUUGGGGAUUUGAUCUUAAUCUUCUGUCCGUACCUUUCUGUUUCCGUCCGGAUUGGAGGCAUGGUUAAUUGUUUCUUGUAGCCAGAAGCCUGCACUGAAUUGCAAACAGAAGACCUCUCAGGCAUUCAAAAAAAAAGAAAAAAAGAGUGAACCUGGAAACUAAAAAUGUGAACACCAUGAUUCCUUAACAGGCUGAGCUUCAGAUUUUUCUCUCUGUCAUGGCUCUUGAGAUGUAUAUAAAAUUUCUGAACAGCAAUGACUGACAGCAGUGUUCCAGCAGUGACAGCAAACUGCCUUCUCUACUCGGGUUAAUUUAGGAGUUGGAUAUAUUCUCCCACCUAAAAUCAUCUGUGAAAACUCGACUCCAGAACAUCUCUAGCAGCUAAAUACUGGAGUCUGGGCUGAAAGGGCUGCACACUAGUCUCCACCAGGUUACCCUAGGGAUGAAAUAGGGAUCAAAUGUCGUAUGAUGCUGUCUGAGAUUCUGUUCCUCACAUGCCACAGUGAGGAGCAGAUUAGUGUCCUGCUCAUAAUGCAUCCCCUCCAAAUCCCUCACUGAAGAAGGAUAUCCAGAGCUUUGGAGAAAUGCUGAAAAGACGCUCAUGAGAGGCCCAAUUCUUCAUACUGAACUGGAAAAUGUUACGAGUGGAUUGCAAAGCUCUACUGAAUAUCGAGUUAAUCCAAGAUUUACGUGCCCUAAGCCUCCAGAAAUUAGGCUGUGGUGGGCUUUAGUUAAAGUAGUGUUAGCUAACCUUAUAAGAAAACCUGUUUUCCUUCCCUGUACAGCCUUUCAGAUAGGCCUUGUUUUCCUGAAGGAACAGAUCCUCAGCUGGCAUAACACAGAUUCAUCUCCCUGAAGCCAGUGAAGCUGGAGGUUAGGAGCAUCUGACCCCAAAACAAUUCCUCUUAAUGGUGACAUGUUUGUUGCCACCAGGCAAGAUGACAGACCGAGUGCUGGUGAUGGAAGAGUAGUGGACAGGCUACUGGCUCAAAGAUUGUCCAUUUUUGUCUCCCAUGGCAUUUAGUACAAAGAGAGGCAGAAGCAGGAAGAUGAGACUCUUCAAUGAAGUUGGCAUGAAGAAGAGGCAAGUCUUGCUCAAGCUGCGUUAGAGUGGAAAAUCUUUUAUCAGGAAGUACCAAGUAUAAAUCACAAAGAUACUGCUUGGUUGAGACCAAUUCUGAAAGAAGACAGUAGCCAAUUAAUUAAUGCCAACUGACAAUAAAACAGAAGAGUAUCACAACCUUUUAGAACAGCAUGUGUCAGCCUUUUUCACAGUGUACCACAGGGAGGGGCUGCCCCUUUCCCACUUGAUUAGACUACUUUCCUAGGGUGGGCAAAGAGGCCAGGAGUGCAGGAUCUUCAGGGUGGUGUUUCAGGUGCCUUUCCAAUCCAAGCAGGCAUAUCAGCAUCAAUUUUGUGCUCUGUUCAUGUUGACUAGGGUCUUCCUCCAGUCUCACAACCAGUAUAGAAAGACUUCCUUUGUGAUUGUAACAAGAAAAACAGGCUGGGUGGAAGAGGAUAAAAAAACCCAAGUGGACAUGACUGCUCUGACAGCUGUCUGGGGAAUACUUGUAAUUCCCAGGUGGAAACUUUGUCUCUGAGGCAGCGAUUUGUGGUGCUGAAGCCACCCACAGUCUCCUAGUGGCAGCUUAAGGUAGGCUGGUCACUGUGUAGGAAAUGCAAGUUCCAUCCUGCAUCCAUUCUUAACAUCCGUUGUAGAUGACUUAUGAUAACAAUGGUGGACUUUUAAAAAAUUGAAGAAUUAUAAGUUCAAUAUAUUUCAUCUCUUUUGAAAUAGAGCUAUUUAAAUGUGGAACA